UAACAGGAUUCCCCUAGUAACUGCGAGUGAAGCGGGAAAAGCUCAAAUUUAAAAUCUGGCAGUCUUUGGCUGUCCGAGUUGUAAUCUAGAGAAGUAUUAUCCGCGCUGGACCGUGUACAAGUCUCCUGGAAUGGAGCGUCAUAGAGGGUGAGAAUCCCGUCUUUGACACGGAUUGCCAGGGCUUUGUGAUGUGCUCUCGAAGAGUCGAGUUGUUUGGGAAUGCAGCUCAAAAUGGGUGGUAAAUUCCAUCUAAAGCUAAAUAUUGGCGAGAGACCGAUAGCGAACAAGUACCGUGAGGGAAAGAUGAAAAGAACUUUGGAAAGAGAGUUAAACAGUACGUGAAAUUGCUGAAAGGGAAACGCUUGAAGUCAGUCGCGUUGGCCAGGGAUCAACCUUGCUUUUUUGCUUGGCUUACUUUCUGGUCGAUGGGUCAGCAUCAAUUUUGACUGGUGGAAAAAGUUCAAGGGAAUGUGGCAUCUUCAGAUGUGUUAUAGCCUUUGUUCAUAUAUAUCAGUUGGGAUUGAGGAACUCAGCACGCCGCAAGGCCGGGUUUUUAACCACGUACGUGCUUAGGAUGCUGGCAUAAUGGCUUUAAUCGACCCGUCUUGAAACACGGACCAAGGAGUCUAACAUGCCUGCGAGUGUUUGGGUGAAAAACCCGAGCGCGUAAUGAAAGUGAAAGUUGAGAUCCCUGUCGUGGGGAGCAUUGACGCCCGGAUCUGACCUUUUGUGACGAUUCUGCGGUAGAGCAUGUAUGUUGGGACCCGAAAGAUGGUGAACUAUGCCUGAAUAGGGUGAAGCCAGAGGAAACUCUGGUGGAGGCUCGUAGCGAUUCUGACGUGCAAAUCGAUCGUCAAAUUUGGGUAUAGGGGCGAAAGACUAAUCGA
This 887-nucleotide ribosomal RNA is filed under the name Laccaria cf. laccata C KH-2011. Its description in RNAcentral is "LSU rRNA". It matches the Rfam family "Eukaryotic large subunit ribosomal RNA", at positions 66 to 938 of the family's 3401-position model. The record is from RNAcentral. Lineage: Eukaryota; Fungi; Basidiomycota; Agaricomycetes; Agaricales; Hydnangiaceae.